UUGGUUGUUCAUAAACCCUUGGUGCGACCACAACGCUAAAAUAGAAGAGAGGUCUGUACUUUGAUCUUGCAACUUCGAUGCCCAAAUUUACCUCAGUGCUUUGAUCGUAUGUUCUGUUUUACUUCAGUAUAUAUUUACAAAUAUUGUCCCCGUCAAGGUUAAUGGGUCUUACCUUCUCAAUCUGCUCGACGAUAGCUCGGGCAGGAAGAAGAGGAAGAUUAAUGGGUAUUACCCUCUCAAUCUGCUCGGCGAGGUCGCCGCCGUUAUUGUCCCCGUCAACCUCCACGGCUUGCUCGAUUCGAUUGGCCCCGCCGGUAUUAUCCCCGAAGUCUCCUGCUCCCCCGAGGAUGAGUCGAAAUCGAAGAACAGGGAGUCAGCCGCCACAGCGAAGACGGAGGUUUAGCUGUCGCCACUGGUGAGGACGUCGCGGGGCCGAGUUCAGGUACUUCCUUCCCGGUUUAAUGACUCGGUUAUUGAGAAUUGGAAGAAAGAAAGUAAGACACAUGUAAGAGAUUGUAGUUUGGAUGAGGAGAUUGAAUGUAAAAAAGACAAGAUGGUUUAGUGGGGACAGUGAAGGCUGCGAAGGAGAAUGGGGAGAGGAAAGAUGGGUGGGGGUGAAGAGGAGAAAGGGCUCGGGGAAGGUGGGGGUGGGGUGGGAUGGGUUGUAUUUUUGGAUGAGAGGGAAGGUGAAGAGAGUGGAGGAGAG
Molecule: long non-coding RNA, 706 nt
Organism: Pyrus x bretschneideri (Chinese white pear)
Lineage: Eukaryota; Viridiplantae; Streptophyta; Magnoliopsida; Rosales; Rosaceae
Exons: 2
Source: RefSeq, a predicted model, not a curated record